Molecule: long non-coding RNA, 4362 nt
Organism: Pseudopipra pipra
Lineage: Eukaryota; Metazoa; Chordata; Aves; Passeriformes; Pipridae
Exons: 3
Source: RefSeq, a predicted model, not a curated record
UUCUGUUUGGUUCUUUCUAUUUCUAUUAUUCUGUAUAAAAUAAUUGUCAUUUCUACAUCACUCAUCUAAUAUCUAGAAUAAUAGAACUCUGUCAAAAAUUAAAUUUUGCAUCAUCCCUCAGAGUGAUUAAGCAUUAAUCUCAGUUAUUUCUUAAUUAAUUUAUUGUUGCAGCGCUGUAAGACACAGGGUUUCAGGGGUGUAAUUUUAACCAGAGUAAAGAUGUAAGAAAUUGGGGUUAUAGUGGGAAAAGGAACAACAGUACUGAAGAAAAUGUGGUAUCUUGCAGAUGUGACUGCGUGAUAACCAGGCAGCCUGACUGAUACUUUGAGAUGUCUAGUGUCCACUAGACUUUUAGUUACAUCACUAGGCCUGCUAUUAACUCAAAACAGGCCCAUAUAAACAUUCUGCAAAAAGGAGUCAGCAAUUCCGAAGUCUGUAAAAUCUCCCCUUCUCCUAGAAACAAAGAAAAAAAAGGAUAUUCAGCAUUCAAAACUAGGGAGCUUAAGCACAGAAUCUAUUCAGUACCAUUGAAGUUUUUUCUCAGUUUUGGACUGCUGUCACUAUUUGAGAAGAUAGCACCAUUAAGAGAACUGUACUAAGAAUAAACUGCUAUAUGUAGAUAUCUAUAACUUGCCAGAUCUUUUGGUAAUGUUAAAAUGUGAGAAAGGUUGAUUUUCUGGAACACCAGUUCUGGCGAUAUAUAGAAUAUUCUGCUUUAGGAAGUGAGUAAAGAGGAUGCUUUUAAAAAGCAGCAUUCUGAAUUUGUUUACUUCCCUUCACCUCACAGAGAUAAAAGAGCAUCAAAUGAAACAGAGUGCUUUAAAUUCUUAUGCUGUCACCUGGAGAUGCUCUGAUCCGGCACUUCUCCAGAGCUCUGUUGUCUUAUGGUUAUAAGUUUUGGGUAAACAGUAUGGCGAAUAGUGACUUCAGUAUACCUAUAGAUCAACUCAGUAACAUGUUCUUACUCCGGGGAGUCAGCAGCACAACUCAGUAAAAAAAGUGUAAAACCCUGAUGCCUCUGGUUUAGGAUAUCUUGAGAGAUCUGGACAUCUGGAACCAUAAAGCUGCCAGAAGUAGGCUAAUGCUUUUGCUUGGCAGAAGGCAAUUAAAAGGAAAGCUUUCUGUGAAGCUGCCAGCAUUUUGAAAAUGUUCAGCCAACAAAGUGGUGAAGAGAUCUUCACCUUGAUACUGAGUUUUGACAUCUCAUUACUGAUAGUCAUUUGGUAACUGUGUGCUCUGGUGCCUACAAUCUCAAACAUAACGGAAAUUAUAAUUUAUUUAGGUAGAGCUCUGGAUCAGAGGGUGACUCAAGCAGAAAUCUAGGGCAGCCCUGGAAAUAAUACAUAGAGGGGGGAAAAGAAAUAAGACUGGUAGGAGAAAAUAAGUAUUGACAGUAACUACAGGUAGAAAUACGCGGUUAUUGUUAGCUCUGCAGAAUUUAGUGGGUGUUCCUUCAACUGCGCUGUUGAACUACUGAUAAAGGAAGACAUGACAAAACCACCAGGCUAAAUCAAACACUGAAAGAUGUAGAGCAUCAGAAUAUUUCAGGGAUUCAUGUAUUUAAUUAUAAAACACACAGAAUAAGUUACAGCUGUCAAUUUUAAAGCAUCAGUUUAGCACCAGUAAACUACAGACUUGCUUGUGAAAUACCAUAUACGUUUUUUCCUGCACUCAUUGAAUCUGGAUAUAUUAACCAUUGGGCUGUAAUGAAUGUUACAAACUGCUGAGUUUUUUCCCCUCAAACACAUGUGAAGUUAUGUUAGGCUUUGAAAAAAAUAUCUUUGACUGCAAUAUCUGAUAUUUUUCACAAAGAACAUAAGAAAAAGUUUCCCUAAGAUAGUCUAGUUUGUGAACCUUUUAAGCUUCCUUAAACAGGCAUAAAAAAUUUGUUGUGUUUCUGUUUCCAUGUUCUCAUUCCCAGACAAAAUAUCUUUACACACUCUCACUUUUUGCUCUCUAACGUCUUGUCCUCAUUGUAGUUAAUGUUCACUACAGAAUAAAAGACAGAAAUUAGGCCCAUUAUAUAUACAUUCAUAUUAGCAGAUGAGAUUUCAGGUGUGACUUAGAGCAAUAGAGUGUUACAGGGAAGAAACUCUGCAGAGCAUUCAGCAGCCUCAGAGGUUUAGCAGGAUGACUUUAAAUCACCAGUGCCCUCUGCUGCUCUGUGGAUGGUCUUUUAUUUUGUGUUGUUUUUCCAUUCAGCCAGCUAUAACUUUGACAGUACUCCAAGCCUUCCUUAAUUACUGCUUCCUUAUAGGCUGAUUCAUGGGUACUACGAUGCACAGAAUUUUGUCCCUAUGGGACUAUACAGCCUCUCACCUCCAGCACUGACAUGGGUGAAUUGCUGAGGCAGGACAUGAGACAACAGCCUAAGAGCCAGAGCUAUCGCUGCCCUGCACCACUGCUCUGGUAGGAAUGCUCAUCCUCGCCAAAAGCAGGAAAUCACAAGGUUUUCAAGGAAUUUUCCUGCUUGCCCCUAAAGACCUGGAAUAGAAAGAGAAGGUUGUUUCUGCUUUAGCCUAGCAGGCUCAGUUUUGAGGAAAGAUUCUGUAUAGCAGAUAGACUAAAUCUAAUAACAUGAAAUAUGAAAGAGAAAAUAUGAGUAGUUACAAUUUCAUCAGCUGCACAGUGUAAUACCUACCUAGGGGGAAAAUCAAUCAGCUAGUGUCUGAUCAGUGCUUUCUUGAUAGCAUUAGCUAUGUGAGUUAUACAACCUCUGGAGAUAGUGCUUCUUUUCCUUACCUGUGUAAUUCAUUUAUUAGCCUAAAUUUACAGCUGUCAGCAUCGAUUUAGAGCACCAAAUCUAAAUGAACACACAUUCUGUGGAUUCCAAGGACAGACAGCUAAAAUCCUGAGAUGAAGGUAACAAAUUUUUACAUAGAACAGAUAACUAAUUUCUAUUUCAUUUAUAUAAGCAUAAAAAUAAUUGAAUUCCUGUCUGGCCAGGAGUUCUGAAUUUGGUUUCCAUUUCCCUUCCUCCUUAAGGGUAGUAUGUAACCCCUGAUAUGAUGCAGUAACUCUACAGUCUUCAAAACUGGGGAUAUAGUCAACUUAAAGUAAAAGGAGGUGCAGUUUUUUGUGACUGUAGUCUACUGUUUUAUGCAUGUCCAAAAUCCUUCUGCACAUUCACUUCUCUGUACAGUUGACCACAUAUGAUAUAGGACACUCCGAACUUGUCUGACAGACAAAAUAAUGAUAAUUCCAAUAUUUACUUGGUAUGGCCUUUAUGUAAAGGUACAAAAGAAGCCAAAAAAUCUUAUUAUUCUAUUGGGAUAACUAUUCAAUUGAUUCAUAAAGUAAUAUGGUUCCUGCCUUACAGUAGCUUACAAGCCAAUUAAGGCUUAAUUGAGCAAGUAGGACAAUGGCAGAGGGAAUAGGAGACAGCUUGGGCGCUCCCUGAUUUGUUUGAACUAGUGUCCUCUGCUUUCCCUUCAGAUAUGGAUGUUUAAAGAAUGGGCAGAAGCCUUGAUUUCUUGGCAAGGAAGGGCUGCUAUGCACAGACACUGCUUGCACACUUCUGGAGAGAGACACUGGUUCCUGUUCUUCUUCAUGUUUUACGAGUUAAUGGGCACUGUGGUGAAACCUGUACUCUUCCAAAAGAGAUAGAAGAAAAAAAGUGGGAAAAAAAGUGAAGGAAAGAAGAACAAAGGGUGGUAAAGGGAAGACAAGUUCUGAGAGCAAGAAAAUAAGUAACUAGUGUCUUAUAGUCCUUCAAAAAGAGCUCAGCCUUAACCAGAGAGUCAAAUCUGCUACUGCUGGAGACUCCACCAUUCAUCACCAAAACAGCUUUGUUUAUGGAAAGAUGGUCCUGCCCUCAUAGCCACAAAAAACCUACUUAAAUUUUGCUUUUUCCAGUGUACAAGCCUUGUGUUUUCAUCUCUUUUGUCUACAAAGCAAACUCUAGACAGUUAGGAGUCAAGAAUGUACAAUUAUAAAUCUAGAUUAAGUAAUCCAUGUAGCACUGCUUCUAGGAAGAAAACACUACCUUAAAAGUCUGUGUCAGGAACUGAUUCCAUGUCAUGGACCCUUAGAAUGCUGGGAUAAGCUUCUUACCAGCAUCUUUUUGAACUAGAAAAACAUCCAGACACGACACUGAGCAGCAGCUGUUUACACUAGUUAUAUCCUAAGGCUUGUCCUGCCGUUCAAAAUAUGUGUGCUAUAUUCCGGCUAUACACUUCAUGCUAACUCAAAUAGUUCAUUUGGAUAGCCUGGUUUUGCAAAGUACUGUAUAUCCUGACUGAUCUUAUUAUGAAAUAUUUUCAUUCUUGUUGAUAGUCCAAGGAAACUCUUUCCGGGUGUCAGCCACAGAUUGCUUGUAUUUUUCACUAUGAGAUUGAUUGUAUCAUUAAAGUUAUUUUCACA